RNAcentral lists this ribosomal RNA (301 nucleotides) under uncultured bacterium. RNAcentral describes it as "partial 16S ribosomal RNA". It matches the Rfam family "Bacterial small subunit ribosomal RNA", at positions 509 to 807 of the family's 1533-position model. The record is from RNAcentral.
CAGUAGCCGCGGUAAAACGUAGGUGGCAAGCGUUGUCCGGAAUUAUUGGGCGUAAAGGGCUCGCAGGCGGUUUCUUAAGUCUGAUGUGAAAGCCCCCGGCUCAACCGGGGAGGGUCAUUGGAGACUGGGAAACUUGAGUGCAGAAGAGGAGAGUGGAAUUCCACGUGUAGCGGUAAAAUGCGUAGAGAUGUGGAGGAACACCAGUGGCGAAGGCGACUCUCUGGUCUGUAACUGACGCUGAGGAGCGAAAGCGUGGGGAGCGAACAGGAUUAGAUACCCCGGUAGUCCCUGUCUCUUAUAC